Molecule: ribosomal RNA, 447 nt
Filed under: uncultured bacterium
Lineage: Bacteria
Description: SSU rRNA
Rfam family: Bacterial small subunit ribosomal RNA
Source: RNAcentral
AGAGCGAACGCUGGCGGCAGGCCUAACACAUGCAAGUCGAGCGCCCGUAGCAAUACGGGAGCGGCAGACGGGAUAGUAACACGUGGGAACGCGCCCUUCGGUUCGGAAUAACUCAGGGAAACUUGAGCUAAUACCGGAUACGCCCUUGCGGGGAAAGAUUUAUUGCCGAAGGAACGGCCCGCGUCCGAUUAGCUAGUUGGUGAGGUAAUGGCUCACCAAGGCGACGAUCGGUAGCUGGUCUGAGAGGAUGACCAGCAUCACUGGGACUGAGACACGGCCCAGACUCCUACGGGAGGCAGCAGUGGGGAAUAUUGGACAAUGGGCGCAAGCCUGAUCCAGCCAUGCCGCGUGGAUGAUGAAGGCCUUAGGGUUGUAAAGUCCUUUUAACGGGGAAGAUAAUGACGGUACCCGUAGAAUAAGCCCGGCUAACUUCGUGCCAGCAGCCGC